UUCAAAUUUGAUUCACUACUUGAUAAAAAAGAUAUAUUCUGCUUGAUUCAAAGAUUCGAUGUUCACAAUACACUUCCCCGCCAUGUCAUCAAUUGUUCCUUCUUUAUCACUUGCUUAGCUACUAUGAUGCACAGAAUAUCAUGCUUGGCCUUCACUGACAGGUUCACGUUACGAUGGCAACGGGUCCAACUGAUGUCAACUCCCCAAUCACACCAAUUCUAUUCGACAGUUCGCGCAAAAGUGAGCCUGGCACAGUUUGACGCCAUCGAAGUAGCUCCUUUCCUGGAUGGUUCGGUUGAAGGGAAGUCCUUAAACGCACCCAAGUCAUCUCCCUGCCCCACGAGGAUGGCGUUGCACAAAGUAGAAAAUCCGGAGCGAAGGCAGCAAGGUAAACAAAUCUAAUGCUUAUGUGUGCGACGGUACCGCUGAAGCUAGAAAAAGGACGAUGGAAAACAGCAGAAAGAGAAGGAAUUAUUCAGGCAUGCCCUUCCACCAUACCCCGUCAGUUGGUAAGGCAGGACACACGACACUGAUCUGCACAUAAUCCGCGGACCUGCUGGGACCUUGUCGGAGCGAAUUGCGGAACAACGGAAAAGAGCUUUCUGGCCAGUUACGGAUCAUUUCAUGAGGACACGCGCGCGCUGCACAUAAGCGAUUAUUUAUUUUCCAAAUCUGAUUUACAAUUCUACGGGAGGACAAGGUGUUUGGAGUGGAGGAAAUGGAGUCGUUUGUAAUGGUUGUCAUUUAUGUGAACAUGGAGCUCUUCCUAUGUACUACCAAUGAAAUAUAAUGUGUUGCUGAACUCCUA
Anopheles coluzzii is the source of this 808-nucleotide long non-coding RNA. RefSeq lists it as uncharacterized. The record is from RefSeq and is a predicted model, not a curated record. The transcript is spliced from 2 exons. NCBI's taxonomy places the organism in Eukaryota, Metazoa, Arthropoda, Insecta, Diptera, Culicidae.